RNAcentral lists this long non-coding RNA (900 nucleotides) under Homo sapiens (human). Its description in RNAcentral is "HSALNT0367813". Lineage: Eukaryota; Metazoa; Chordata; Mammalia; Primates; Hominidae. The record is from RNAcentral.
GCUUGCUUGGUGGGGUAGGAGUAGUUGAAGUCGCUGUUGGAACUGUAGCUGCUGCUGUCUUCAUCCGGGGAAAUACUGAAUCGUCCCAUUUCGGCCUUCUUCAUGCUAAGCACUGGGAGGAAUCGGGUGCAGCUAGUAGCGCUGGGCUCCUUUUGUCCUUGGCGGUGGGUGCAGCGGCCCGCGAGUCGGCCUGCGAAAGUAGAGGCGGCGCGUCAGGACCGCAGCGCCAGCCCGCCGCGGUCACGUGACGCCGCCCGGAGGCGCAGCGCGGCUGAUUCAUCCCAGGCCAGGCGAGUGGAAAAGUACCAGCCGCGCGCGAGGGGCGGGGGCGCGCCGAGGGGCGGAAAAGUACAGACGGCGGAGCCGCGGGGAGAACAAAGAUGAUGCCACCGCUGUGUUGCGGCCGUCGAGGCCCCCUACUCCGGCAGAUUUCAACCUGCUUUCACUCUUCAAAACUAGCCGGAGGUCGGCGAGCAGCUCCUUUUCGGGAUGUGCUUUUUGUACGGCCAUGGAAACUGGACUAGCGGAAAGGCUACCUUUUGGCCAGCAAGCCAGGCCCCUUAGAAAGAGGCCCCAGUGGGGAGCCCGGCGCUCCUAAGGCCGUUUGGGAGUCCCCAGUUUUCCACUCGCUGACACGUUGCUUCUCUUAUCCCACCACCGCCGCCCCGGGCAAAGGCACUGCCUUGUCUGAAUGCGGGUCUGAGGCGCUUUCUGCGGAGCCUGGUCCUUUCCCUUCAAUGGUGAUGUGUGUGGUCUUGCUGAGCCAGGCAACUAGGGGGACCCUUCGCUGUGGAAAAAUUGGUGCUGCGGGAAAGGCAAGACUCACUCCCUUGCAGGAAACAAAGACCCCUUAGGAGAGAGAAAUGUUCAUGGAAUGAAUGAAUAAACAAGUUUGACCUA